Molecule: ribosomal RNA, 355 nt
Filed under: Tissierellaceae bacterium
Lineage: Bacteria; Bacillati; Bacillota; Tissierellia; Tissierellales; Tissierellaceae
Description: partial 23S ribosomal RNA
Rfam family: Bacterial large subunit ribosomal RNA
Source: RNAcentral
GUUGGGCUGUUCGCCCAUUAAAGAGGCACGCGAGCUGGGUUCAGAACGUCGUGAGACAGUUCGGUCCCUAUCCGUCGUGGGCGUAGGAAAUUUGAAAGGAGCUGUCCUUAGUACGAGAGGACCGGGAUGGACAAACCGCUGGUGUAUCAGUUGUCGUGCCAACGGCAUAGCUGAGUAGCUAAGUUUGGACUGGAUAAGUGCUGAAGGCAUCUAAGCACGAAGCCACCCUUAAGAUAAGAUUUCCCAUUACGCAAGUAAGUAAGACACCAGGAAGACCACCUGGUAGAUAGGUCUCAGGUGAAAGAGUAGUAAUACUUGUAGCUAAGAGAUACUAAUAUGUCGAGGACUUGACCUA